CCUACGGGGGGCAGCAGUGAGGAAUAUUGGUCAAUGGACGAGAGUCUGAACCAGCCAAGUAGCGUGAAGGAUGACUGCCCUAUGGGUUGUAAACUUCUUUUAUAUGGGAAUAAAAUGUUCCACGUGUGGGAUUUUGUAUGUACCAUAUGAAUAAGGAUCGGCUAACUCCGUGCCAGCAGCCGCGGUAAUACGGAGGAUCCGAGCGUUAUCCGGAUGUAUUGGGUGUAAAGGGAGCGUAGGUGGAUUGUUAAGUCAGUUGUGAAAGUUUGCGGCUCAACCGUAAAAUUGCAGUUGAAACUGGCAGGCGUGAGGACAGUAGAGGUGGGCGGAAUUCGUGGUGUAGCGGGGAAAUGCUUAGGU
Molecule: ribosomal RNA, 360 nt
Filed under: uncultured bacterium
Lineage: Bacteria
Description: partial 16S ribosomal RNA
Rfam family: Bacterial small subunit ribosomal RNA
Source: RNAcentral